AUUGAACGCUGGCGGCAGGCCUAACACAUGCAAGUCGAGCGGAUGAGGCGAGCUUGCUCCUGGAUUCAGCGGCGGACGGGUGAGUAAUGCCUAGGAAUCUGCCUCGUAGUGGGGGAUAACGUCCGGAAACGGGCGCUAAUACCACAUACUUCCUGAGCGAGAAAGUGGGGGAUCUUCGGACCUCACGCUAUCAGAGGAGCCUACGUCGGAUUAGCUAGUUGGUGGGUUAAAGGCCUACCAAGGCGAGGAUCCGUAACUGGUCUGAGAGGAUGAUAAGUCACCCUAGAAGUGAAACAAGGUCCAGACUCCUACGAGAGGCAGCAGUGGGGAAUAUUAGACAACGGGCGAAAGCCUGAUCCAACCAGGCCGCGUGUGUGAAGAAGGUAUUCGGAUUGCAAAGCCCGCUUUGGUGGGAGAAAGGGCAGUAAGUUAAUACGUUGCUGUUUUGACGUUACUAACAGAAUAAGCACCGGCUAACUUCGUG
RNAcentral lists this ribosomal RNA (484 nucleotides) under uncultured bacterium. RNAcentral's name for it is "partial 16S ribosomal RNA". It matches the Rfam family "Bacterial small subunit ribosomal RNA", at positions 30 to 507 of the family's 1533-position model. The record is from RNAcentral.